This 253-nucleotide ribosomal RNA is filed under the name uncultured bacterium. Its description in RNAcentral is "partial 16S ribosomal RNA". It matches the Rfam family "Bacterial small subunit ribosomal RNA", at positions 524 to 776 of the family's 1533-position model. The record is from RNAcentral.
UACAGAGGGGGCAAGCGUUGUUCGGAAUUACUGGGCGUAAAGCGCACGUAGGCGGCUUUGUAAGUUAGAGGUGAAAGCCCGGGGCUCAACUCCGGAAUUGCCUUUAAGACUGCAUCGCUAGAAUUGUGGAGAGGUAAGUGGAAUUCCGAGUGUAGAGGUGAAAUUCGUAGAUAUUCGGAAGAACACCAGUGGCGAAGGCGACUUACUGGACACAUAUUGACGCUGAGGUGCGAAAGCGUGGGGAGCAAACAGG